GCCCUGGUGGUGAAAUCGGUAGACACGUUGGACUUAAAAUCCAAUGAGGCUAAUACCCUCGUGCCGGUUCAAGUCCGGCCCAGGGCA
Molecule: transfer RNA, 87 nt
Filed under: bacterium
Lineage: Bacteria
Also listed under: 2 other names
Description: tRNA-Leu
Rfam family: tRNA
About the family: Transfer RNA (tRNA) molecules are approximately 80 nucleotides in length. Their secondary structure includes four short double-helical elements and three loops (D, anti-codon, and T loops).
Source: RNAcentral